This 798-nucleotide long non-coding RNA is filed under the name Marmota monax (woodchuck). Lineage: Eukaryota; Metazoa; Chordata; Mammalia; Rodentia; Sciuridae. The record is from RNAcentral.
GGCGGGAGCCGGGAGGAAGCCCCACGGAGACCCGGCUGCGGCCCGGGCGCUGUGCGCAGCCUCUCCUGGCCCCGGCUGACCUCCGGGCCCCUUUGAAUCCUCCCCGGAUCACCCGCCCUUCCUCUAGGGAUGGGAGGAGACCUUGGCCGAGGGUCCCCAGCCUGCGUGGCCGGAUGAAAGAGGGACCAGGGAAAUAAAACCUCCUUCUGCUUGAGGGCCAGGGGCCAGGCGGCGCUGGGCCAGAGGGAAGAAGUGCUGGAGCAGUCGCUCUCGGGAUCCGGGGUCCUGCAUUCCAGGGACCCUUAGUCCCCCCGCCCCGUGCAAUGACCCGGUGAUCACAGCUCCCUGUGUCUCUCUGCUGCGAUGACUCCCACCCUGGGAGAAAGGUUUCCACCAUGCAUGGCCCUCGCGCGUUUCCUUGUGUUGGUUUGGUUUGGUUGAGGAGGGAGUAUUGCAGAUUGCCGAAAAGAGGGUCUCCAGCUCCCAGGGUGUCGAUCAGAAUUGACUUCUUUGGCGUCGGGGAGCGGGAAGCAUGAAGCCGACCAGAGAGAAUUCGAUUUAUACCCUCCUUCUCAAGGGGCAGUCUACACCUGACAUUUGGAAUAUGAGCUCCUGCACCGCUAAAGCUCUGACACAUGGAAGACUGUAAACGAAGUAAAAGUUUAGUGAAUGGGUACAAUUAAAAUCAGAAAGUGCCUCAUUCAGUUGUCCUGGAUGGGCAGGACAUCCUAAAAGAAUAAGCUUAGUGUGCAGUGUGCCUUAAAUUCAGCCUCAAACAAGAAUAAUAAAAUAUUACGA